GGGGGAGCUUGCUCCCCGCUGACGAGCGGCGGACGGGUGAGUAAUGCAUAGGAAACUGCCCAGUAGUGGGGGAUAGCCCGGGGAAACCCGGAUUAAUACCGCAUACGCCCUUUGGGGGAAAGCAGGGGAUCUUCGGACCUUGCGCUAUUGGAUGUGCCUAUGUCGGAUUAGCUAGUUGGUGGGGUAAGAGCCUACCAAGGCGACGAUCCGUAGCUGGUCUGAGAGGAUGAUCAGCCACAUCGGGACUGAGACACGGCCCGAACUCCUACGGGAGGCAGCAGUGGGGAAUAUUGGACAAUGGGGGCAACCCUGAUCCAGCCAUGCCGCGUGUGUGAAGAAGGCUUUCGGGUUGUAAAGCACUUUCAGUGAGGAGGAAAACCUUACGAUUAAUACUCGUGAGGCUUGACGUUACUCACAGAAGAAGCACCGGCUAACUCCGUGCCAGCAGCCGCGGUAAUACGGAGGGUGCAAGCGUUAAUCGGAAUUACUGGGCGUAAAGCGCGCGUAGGUGGUUUGAUAAGCGAGAUGUGAAAGCCCCG
This 539-nucleotide ribosomal RNA is filed under the name uncultured bacterium. RNAcentral describes it as "bacterial SSU rRNA". It matches the Rfam family "Bacterial small subunit ribosomal RNA", at positions 72 to 605 of the family's 1533-position model. The record is from RNAcentral.